Non-coding RNA from Trichonephila inaurata madagascariensis, 73 nucleotides. The record is from the annotation of a GenBank genome assembly. Lineage: Eukaryota; Metazoa; Arthropoda; Arachnida; Araneae; Nephilidae.
GUCCUUGUAGUGCAGUGGGUAGCGCGUUGGACUUCUAACCCAAAGGUCGUGGGUUCAAAUCCCACGAAGGAUA